This 490-nucleotide ribosomal RNA is filed under the name uncultured bacterium. RNAcentral's name for it is "partial 16S ribosomal RNA". It matches the Rfam family "Bacterial small subunit ribosomal RNA", at positions 29 to 507 of the family's 1533-position model. The record is from RNAcentral.
AAUGAACGCUGGCGGCAUGCCUUACACAUGCAAGUCGAACGGCAGCAUGACCUAGCUUGCUAGGUUGAUGGCGAGUGGCGAACGGGUGAGUAAUGCAUCGGAACGUGCCUUUUAGUGGGGGAUAACGUAGCGAAAGUUACGCUAAUACCGCAUAUUCUCUGAGGAGGAAAGCAGGGGACCUUCGGGCCUUGCGCUAGAAGAGCGGCCGAUGUCGGAUUAGCUAGUUGGUGAGGUAAAGGCUCACCAAGGCAACGAUCCGUAGCGGGUCUGAGAGGAUGAUCCGCCACACUGGGACUGAGACACGGCCCAGACUCCUACGGGAGGCAGCAGUGGGGAAUUUUGGACAAUGGGCGCAAGCCUGAUCCAGCCAUGCCGCGUGAGUGAAGAAGGCCUACGGGUUGUAAAGCUCUUUCGGCUGGGAAGAAAUCGCACCCUCUAAUACAGGGUGUGGAUGACGGUACCAGCAUAAGAAGCACCGGCUAACUACGUG